ACGAACGCUGGCGGCGUGCUUAACACAUGCAAGUCGAGCGGUAAGGCCCUUUCGGGGGUACACGAGCGGCGAACGGGUGAGUAACACGUGGGUGACCUGCCCUCAGCUCUGGGAUAAGCCUGGGAAACUGGGUCUAAUACUGGAUAUGACUCCACGGUGCAUGUCGUGGGGUGGAAAGCCUUGUGCGGCUGAGGAUGGGCCCGCGGCCUAUCAGCUUGUUGGUGGGGUGANGGCCUACCAAGGCGACGACGGGUAGCCGGCCUGAGAGGGCGACCGGCCACACUGGGACUGAGACACGGCCCAGACUCCUACGGGAGGCAGCAGUGGGGAAUCUUGCGCAAUGGGCGAAAGCCUGACGCAGCGACGCCGCGUGAGGGAUGACGGCCU
Molecule: ribosomal RNA, 387 nt
Filed under: uncultured bacterium
Lineage: Bacteria
Description: bacterial SSU rRNA
Rfam family: Bacterial small subunit ribosomal RNA
Source: RNAcentral